This 433-nucleotide ribosomal RNA is filed under the name uncultured bacterium. RNAcentral describes it as "partial 16S ribosomal RNA". It matches the Rfam family "Bacterial small subunit ribosomal RNA", at positions 29 to 507 of the family's 1533-position model. The record is from RNAcentral.
AACGAACGCUGGCGGCAUGCCUAACACAUGCAAGUCGAACGAGACCUUCGGGUCUAGUGGCGCACGGGUGCGUAACGCGUGGGAACCUGCCCUUAGGUUCGGAAUAACUCCCCGAAAGGGGUGCUAAUACCGGAUAAUGUCUUCGGACCAAAGAUUUAUCGCCUUUGGAUGGGCCCGCGUUGGAUUAGCUAGUUGGUAGGGUAAAAGCCUACCAAGGCGACGAUGCAUAGCUGGUCUGAGAGGAUGACAAGGCACACUGGGACUGAGACACGGCCCAGACUCCUACGGGGGGCAGCAGUGGGGAAUAUUGGGCGCGGGGCCAAAGCCUGAUCAAGCAACGCCGCGUGAGUGAUGAAGGCCUUAGGGUUGUAAAGCUCUUUUAGCCGGGAUGAUAAUGACAGUACCGGGAGAAUAAGCUCCGGCUAACUCCGUG